Molecule: non-coding RNA, 238 nt
Organism: Heterocephalus glaber (naked mole-rat)
Lineage: Eukaryota; Metazoa; Chordata; Mammalia; Rodentia; Bathyergidae
Source: RefSeq, a predicted model, not a curated record
UUUAUCUUUUCCUGAAGUGUGUCUGCAUUUUUUUGACAGACUCUUUUUAAAAUGUGUAGUCUUUAUGGAGCUCUUUUCUCACAGUAAGGAAUGAAAACAGCGGGCCGAGAUAAAUUUGGCUUGGAAUUAUGAGAAACAUUAUCACAGCUUUGGUCAGUGAAGAGGACCCUCUCCAGUGCUUCCUGUGUCUGCUGACAUGAUGACCCCAUUAAACUUGGCUUUCUGGGCCUGAAAGGUG